UGGGGAAUAUUGCGCAAUGGGGGAAACCCUGACGCAGCGACGCCGCGUGCGGGAUGAAGGCCUUCGGGUUGUAAACCGCUUUUGAUUGGUAGCAAGCUUUCGGGUGAGUGUACCUUUCGAAUAAGCGCCGGCUAACUACGUUCCAGCAGCCGUGGUAAUACGUAGGGCGCAAGCGUUAUCCGGAAUUAUUGGGCGUAAAGAGCUUGUAGUCGGUUCGUCGCGUCUGGUGUGAAAUCCCAUGGCUUAACGGUGGGUUUGCGCAGGGGACGGGGGGGCUAGAGUGCAGUAGGGGAGACUGGAAUUCCCGGUGUAACGGUGGAAUGUGUAGAUAUCGGGAAGAAAAACAAUGGCGAAGGCAGGUCUCUGGGCUGUUACUGACGCUGAGAAGCGAAAGAGUGGGGAGCGAACAGG
RNAcentral lists this ribosomal RNA (411 nucleotides) under Verrucomicrobiota bacterium. RNAcentral's name for it is "Verrucomicrobia bacterium partial 16S ribosomal RNA". It matches the Rfam family "Bacterial small subunit ribosomal RNA", at positions 355 to 776 of the family's 1533-position model. Lineage: Bacteria; Pseudomonadati; Verrucomicrobiota. The record is from RNAcentral.